UAUCUCUGUAGAGUCUGCAUAUCAAUAAGCGGAGGAAAAGAAACUAACUAGGAUUCCCUCAGUAACGGCGAGUGAAGCGGGAAGAGCUCAAAUUUGAAAUCUUCAAGGUUCUACCUUGACGAAUUGUAGUUUAAAGAAGUGUUUUCUGUUGGUGUUUUGGUAAAAGUUCUUUGGAAUAGGACAUCAUAGAGGGUGAGAAUCCCGUAUUUGACCAUUACUUCCAGCGUUGUGAUACACUUUCAAAGAGUCGGAUUGUUUGGGAAUGCAGUCCAAAAUGGGUGGUAAAUUUCAUCUAAAGCUAAAUAUUGGCGAGAGACCGAUAGCGAACAAGUACCGUGAGGGAAAGAUGAAAAGAACUUUGAAAAGAGAGUUAAACAGUACGUGAAAUUGUCAAAAGGGGAGCGUUUGACACCAGUGUUGUUUUCUCGAAAAUCAAUUAAAAAAGGCAGGAUUUUGUGUUGUAUUGACUUUAUCAGCUUUCUGCACUCUUUUCUUGUCUUUUUUUAAUGCACUUUUCGUUUAACAAGUCAACAUCAAUUUCUUUUGUUGUAAAAGGGUCAUUGGAAGGUGGCUUUCUUUUCGGAGAAAGUGUUUAUAGCCUUUGGCCUCUGCAAUCGGAGAGAUUGAGGUCUGCAGCGUAGAUCCUUCGGGGUUAGAUACAUUUGUGCUAAGUUAUAGCCUUUCAUAGACAACUUGUUGACUAUGAUCAGUCAUGUAGCUUACUCGCUUAUGCUAUUUUACCUACGCUUAGGAUGUUGAUAGUCACAGCGUGUAC
This 775-nucleotide ribosomal RNA is filed under the name uncultured Neocallimastigales. RNAcentral's name for it is "partial large subunit ribosomal RNA". It matches the Rfam family "Eukaryotic large subunit ribosomal RNA", at positions 24 to 629 of the family's 3401-position model. Lineage: Eukaryota; Fungi; Neocallimastigomycota; Neocallimastigomycetes; Neocallimastigales. The record is from RNAcentral.